Drosophila eugracilis is the source of this 105-nucleotide small nucleolar RNA. RefSeq annotates it as small nucleolar RNA snoM1. The transcript has a single exon. Lineage: Eukaryota; Metazoa; Arthropoda; Insecta; Diptera; Drosophilidae. The record is from RefSeq and is a predicted model, not a curated record.
AAUUCAAUGAUUUCAACUUCACCGCUGACCAGCCACGCUGCAAAACCAAUGCAGCAUAAGGAUUAUCCAUAACCUCCGCAAGACAAAGCAUCUGCUAAUUAACCU